CUAGGCAAACAAAUCCAUCUGGGUUGCCAGAGAAGGCAGAGAAAAGCUCUAAUCUUCUAGAAGCAGCUGUUGGCCAAGCUGACAUUGAAAGGCAUUAUUUUUAAAAUGAAAGCUUCUGUGUGGGUGAUGAAAGCUGCUGCAUUUCUUGCUUUGGACUGGAAGUGCUUGUUGGUAGCCCAGACAGAGAUCAAAAUUAUUGAGUGCUGCAGAGCAAGAGUGAUAAGCAGGACCCUCUUCAGAAGGAAGAAGAGACUUCUACCCAUAUUCCAGUACCCAAAAGUCACCCCGGUCCCUUUGUUGUAGGGGGUUUAACUGUACAGGCAGAAGGAAGCACCACAAGUUUCAACUCUUUCUAUAUUUUGCAUUUGUUAAGGCUCAAGGGCAAUUGCCCUCUGCUCUCCAGUUCAUUUGCCAACAUCAUAGAUAGGGAAGAGGAGGUGGAAAAAGUGAAGAUGGGUCCAGAGCGCAGCAUUAAUCCUCACGUAUGAGCCUCAAGCCCCGACAACCCUGGUGCAUAAAGUCUCUUAUGCCUUUUAUCUCCGUGCCAGCCUGGGAUGUGGUUGGCACCUUCCAGGGGACAGAAGCAUCGAUAUGGGACUGAGCAACUGCUCGUGCACCUGCUGCCACCAGCCUGGUGGGCAACGGAGCUUUUUUUUGGAAGGAUGGGACAAUGCAUAGGGUCAGAGUAAGCUAGAAAAGUGUACUGAAUGAUAAAUUCAUUUGUGUGUGGAUGCUUUGUAGAGCAUUCCUUUCUUUAAUUACAGACAAAGUAAGGCUUAAUAUUAUUUAUUUAUGUGCAGGCUACAUGGCUUUUUUGUUUCCUUUCCUACUGCCUUGAUUUUUCCGGAAAUGAAGUGAGUGCCAGUGGGCUUGUUUUGCUGUGUGGCCCAGCAGGUGCUAGAUGCUGAAUGCACUGGAAACAUCCAGCUAGUGUUUAUGAUGUUGGCAAAGACAUUGCACCAAAACCUUAGCUUGUGUGAGACAGCACAGUGAAGUUUCUUUGUGUCAGCUGGGACAUUGAUCCAUUACAUUAAAGAUCUAAUCAGCAAUAGCUGAUUUAUGGUGAAACACUGCUGGACUGUUUUCAUGAAUGAAGUGUUUUAUUUGAUUUUUCUUUUCUUUCC
RNAcentral lists this long non-coding RNA (1124 nucleotides) under Cyanistes caeruleus (blue tit). Its description in RNAcentral is "lncRNA (ENSCCEG00000000968.1)". Lineage: Eukaryota; Metazoa; Chordata; Aves; Passeriformes; Paridae. The record is from RNAcentral.